CAGGAAGUAGCUUAGCCUGGUUAAAGUGCCGGUCUCGGAUACCGGAGAUCACGAGUUCAAAUCUCGUCUUCCUGA
Molecule: transfer RNA, 75 nt
Filed under: Thalassospira xiamenensis
Lineage: Bacteria; Pseudomonadati; Pseudomonadota; Alphaproteobacteria; Rhodospirillales; Thalassospiraceae
Description: tRNA_Pro_CGG
Rfam family: tRNA
About the family: Transfer RNA (tRNA) molecules are approximately 80 nucleotides in length. Their secondary structure includes four short double-helical elements and three loops (D, anti-codon, and T loops).
Source: RNAcentral